This is a long non-coding RNA of Mangifera indica (mango), 1573 nucleotides long. RefSeq lists it as uncharacterized. The transcript is spliced from 5 exons. The record is from RefSeq and is a predicted model, not a curated record. NCBI's taxonomy places the organism in Eukaryota, Viridiplantae, Streptophyta, Magnoliopsida, Sapindales, Anacardiaceae.
CAAGACUAAACCUCAGCCGCGACUAGACCGGCUGCUCUUUGCCAGUUUGUGGUUAUACAUUCUGGUUGAGUUUAAAAAAAAUUUCCUACCUAACUGCGUUGUAACACACCGGCCAGAAAGUUUAUUCUCUUCCGUUCUUCAACUUUCAUUCGAUUCUUCCUUCCCCGACCAUGCACAAACACACCUCCACCCAUGAUCGCAUCUUCAAGUUCGACUCCACCAAAGAGAACUUUUUCUGUUCUUAGACUCUUCCUGCCGAUUUAUUGACGACAAAAUUUGUCGCGACCGUGAUGAUAACAGUGAUGACUUCGGCCGACGAUUGACGAGUACUGACAACGGAAGUUUAUCUUUUUCAUGCUUCCACACCCCUCUGAUCCUUUAGUAAAUUGAGCAAAUUUUGCUUUUGCGAUUUUUCACUUUGCUGCUGCUUGUGUUUUAUAGGUCUAUGAAGGGCUAAAUUUGGAUACAGCUAGGAGCUACAUCAACUCAUCAAAGAGUUUGGAGGCAAUAAAAAUUUUGGUUCUUUCGGUACCCCCAUGAUGCAAUGAAACAAGAAACAGGUUAUUGGGCAGUGGGGGGGCAGGAUUCACUGCGAAGGGUUACAAUGUAACUUUUCUGAUCUCUGCUUUGAUUUUCCAUGUAAGCUCUCCCUGUUAUUAUAUAUAUGUAUUUCUUGAGAAAAUAGAGUCUUUGGAAAGUUAAAUUGUCAUCCCAAACUAGCACCCUUAAUUUGAAUUAGGUGGAGAAAGGAAGUUUAAUGCUUUGUGGCUUUCUAAUUUACUUUAUUCUUCUGGGAUGAGGUCUUUGGGAAGAUCUGCAGUUUCUAUGUUCAUUAGUUAUUGUUUCUCCCCAACAAUGAUAGGAGAUGAAAAAAUAGAAUUGGAUACUGCCACGUGAUGCCUUUCCCAAUCAAUGGCAGGUAUGGCUUUUAAAAAGAUCAUUCAAAAAGCAAACUUUUAAAAUCCACACGUUACACUUAUUUGUAUACUGAUAGUUCUUGUCUCUUACAGUUUAUAAAUUAUGCAGCUUUUGUGUGAUGUAUAUUCUCCAAUGAGAUUCUAUUGAGGCUUGCUUUCCAUCUUCUGUUUAAUUUCGUUGCCUAAUAAGAUUUCGGAAAGCCUUUUGUUAACGCCAUCAUGUAAUUAUCCUGUUGUUUAUGUUUGCUAAUUAUGAUUUUGAACAUUUAUUGAUAGUGACUGGUUAUGCUCCUGUCUACCACAAUGCAGAGUUUAAUUUUCAUGGGAGUUAAUUUGUUGAACUUUGGUUGGCCUAAAUAGAUGAGUGACUGAUCAAUGGAGGAAUGCUCCAUUAGGACUACUGCCCCAAGUUUCUUCGACUAGAACACUCCGAGGCUUAAAUGUUGAAAGGUGUUUUGAAUGGCAGAGAUAUGUCCAUAGUUCAUGGGCUAAAACUUACCUAAUUCUCUCAUUAACAAUGGUGGACACUUGUUUGUAUGCAAGAAGUAGAAAUUUCACAUUCUUGUUCGAUGAUUUUGAUGAGCUUCUUUUAUUCUGUUGAACUGUAACAUUUAUUUCAGUUUGAGAAGUAUAUAUUAAUAUUGAAAUUUCAAUCA